Molecule: ribosomal RNA, 601 nt
Filed under: uncultured fungus
Lineage: Eukaryota; Fungi
Description: eukaryotic LSU rRNA
Rfam family: 5.8S ribosomal RNA (bases 239-392)
Source: RNAcentral
GUCGUACAGGUCUCCGUAGGUGAACCUGCGGAGGGAUCAUUACACAAUAUGAAGGCGGGCUGGACACCCUCCAGCCGGGCACUGCUUCACGGCGUGCGCGGCUGGAGCCGGCCCUGCUGAAUUAUUCACCCGUGUCUUUUGCGUACUUCUUGUUUCCUGGGUGGGCUCGCCCGCCAUCAGGACCAACCAUAAACCUUUUUGUAAUAGCAAUCAGCGUCAGUAACAAAUUAAUAAUUACAACUUUCAACAACGGAUCUCUUGGUUCUGGCAUCGAUGAAGAACGCAGCGAAAUGCGAUAAGUAGUGUGAAUUGCAGAAUUCAGUGAAUCAUCGAAUCUUUGAACGCACAUUGCGCCCUUUGGUAUUCCAAAGGGCAUGCCUGUUCGAGCGUCAUUUGUACCCUCAAGCUUUGCUUGGUGUUGGGCGUCUUGUCUCUAGCUUUGCUGGAGACUCGCCUUAAAGUAAUUGGCAGCCGGCCUACUGGUUUCGGAGCGCAGCACAAGUCGCACUCUCUAUCAGCAAAGGUCUAGCAUCCAUUAAGCCUUUUUUUCAACUUUUGACCUCGGAUCAGGUAGGGAUACCCGCUGAACUUAAGCAUAUCA